RNAcentral lists this transfer RNA (68 nucleotides) under human gut metagenome. It matches the Rfam family "tRNA". Rfam says of the family: Transfer RNA (tRNA) molecules are approximately 80 nucleotides in length. Their secondary structure includes four short double-helical elements and three loops (D, anti-codon, and T loops). RNAcentral also lists the same sequence under 1 other name. The record is from RNAcentral.
CAGAUAUAGUUUAAUGGUAGAACAUAAGCUUCCCAAGCUUAGAGUGUGGGUUCGAUCCCCAUUAUCUG